Molecule: ribosomal RNA, 253 nt
Filed under: uncultured bacterium
Lineage: Bacteria
Description: partial 16S ribosomal RNA
Rfam family: Bacterial small subunit ribosomal RNA
Source: RNAcentral
UACGUAGGGGGCCAGCGUUGCUCGGAAUUACUGGGCGUAAAGGGUUCGUAGGCGGUGUGGCAAGUCGGAAGUGAAAUCUCUAGGCUCAACUUAGAGACUGCUCCCGAAACUGCCAUGCUAGAGUGCGGGAGAGGCCAGUGGAAUUGCAGGUGUAGCGGUGAAAUGCGUAGAUAUCUGCAGGAACACCCGUGGCGAAGGCGGCUGGCUGGACCGCAACUGACGCUGAGGAACGAAAGCGAGGGGAGCAAACAGG